Long non-coding RNA from Camelus dromedarius (Arabian camel), 1347 nucleotides. RefSeq lists it as uncharacterized. The record is from RefSeq and is a predicted model, not a curated record. NCBI's taxonomy places the organism in Eukaryota, Metazoa, Chordata, Mammalia, Artiodactyla, Camelidae. The transcript has 3 exons.
CCCAACUUCUCAUCGACAGCCCACAAAGUCACAGAAAAGCCAGCUACAAACCGAGACUGGCGACUCGAUUCCAAAAUCUUGGAAGAAGUGAUGCUAAUUAAAAAGCACAUGGAGCAGGGCUGAGAAUAGCCCAUCGUGCUUUAUGUCACGGCACACGAAGGGCUGGCUCACAAAUUAGAAGACACCUGCAAACACGGAGAUGAAGAUGGUCUGGACCCCCAGCGACCCAGGCUCCGACCAACCAAAACAUUGAGAAAAUGUCCUUCUUUACCCCAUCAGGCAAAAAGUGGAAAAUCCCAGAAACCAUUGGAGAGGAAUGGAGGAGGAUGCAAGGAAAUAGUAAGGGAGGCAAGAGAGAUUGGAGUGAUGCACCCACCACAGGAUGACUUUCUCCAGGGACAUCCAUGUUACUGCAAGUGGAGGUAAAACAAUUAUACAUGGAAAGCUAUAAACCAUUGGUGAAGGAAAUUAAAGAAGACUUAAAAAAAUGGAAAGAUAUCCCAUGUUCUUGGAUUGGAAGAAUCAAUAUUGUUAAAAUGGUCACACUGCCCAAGGCAGCCUACAGAUUUACUGCAAUCCCUGUCAAAUAACCCAGGACAAAUUUCACAGAACUAGAACAAAUCAUAAUAAAAUUUAUAUGGAGCCACAAAAGACUUAGAAUUGCCAAAGCAUUACUGAAGAGAAAGAAAGAGGCUGGAGGAAUAACUCUCCCAGACUUCAGACAAUACUAUAGAGCUACAGUAAUCAAGACAGCAUGGUAUUGGUGCAAAAACAGACAUAUAGACUAAUGGAACAGAACAGAGAGCCCUGAAAUGAACCCACAAACUUUUGGCCAACUAAUCUUCGACAAAGGAGGCAAAAAUAUACAAUGGAAUAAAGACAGUCCCUUCAGCAAAUGGUGGUAGGAAAAGGACAGCAGCAUGUAAAUCAAUGAAGCUAGAACACUCCCUUACACCAUACACAAAAAUCAACUCAAUAUGGAUCAAAAACUUAAACAUAAGACAAGAUACAAUAAAUCUCCUAGAAGAAAAUAUAGGCAAAACAUUAUCUGACAUACAUCUCAAAAAUGUUCUCCAAGGGCAGUCUACCCAAGCAAUAGAAAUAAAAGCAAGAAUUAAAAAAUGGGACCUGAUUCAACUUACAAGCUUCUGCACAGCAAAGGAAACCAUAAGUAAUGCAAAAUGACAACCAACGGAAUGGGAGAAAAUUUUUGCAAAUGAAACUGGCAAAGGUUUGAUCUCCAGAAUAUAUAAGCAGCUCAUACGACUCAAUAAGAAAAAAAUAAACAACCCAAUCCAAAAAUGGGCAGAAGACCUAAACAAGCAAUUCUCCAAGGAAGAAAUACAA